UACGUAGGGGGCGAGCGUUGUCCGGAAUCAUUGGGCGUAAAGCGCGUGUAGGCGGCCCGGAAAGUCUGGUGUGAAAUCUUAGGGCUCAACCCUAAGCUGUCACUGGAUACUGUCGGGCUCGAGUCCGGAAGAGGAGAGUGGAAUUCCUGGUGUAGCGGUGGAAUGCGCAGAUAUCAGGAGGAACACCCAUGGCGAAGGCAGCUCUCUGGUACGUGACUGACGCUGAGACGCGAAAGCGUGGGGAGCAAACAGG
RNAcentral lists this ribosomal RNA (253 nucleotides) under uncultured bacterium. RNAcentral describes it as "partial 16S ribosomal RNA". It matches the Rfam family "Bacterial small subunit ribosomal RNA", at positions 524 to 776 of the family's 1533-position model. The record is from RNAcentral.